RNAcentral lists this long non-coding RNA (237 nucleotides) under Elaeis guineensis (African oil palm). RNAcentral's name for it is "long non-coding RNA (EGUI_LNC049740)". The record is from RNAcentral. Lineage: Eukaryota; Viridiplantae; Streptophyta; Magnoliopsida; Arecales; Arecaceae.
CCUCAAACAACCUCAAAUCAACUCCAGAUCUGAGAGGGACUUAUACCAACCUCUUCUCAAGAGAUUUCAGGUCUUGGACCUGGUGUUUGGGUGCCUGCAAGAGGGAGAGAGCAGAUCUGGUAGGCGGCUGCAAGGGGGAAGGGGCUAGCGCCUCCCCUUCUUCUCUUUCCUUUUAUGGACUGGCGGCAAGAAACCCUAGGGUUUCUUGCUCCUGGAGCAUGGAGAAUUGCUGGAGAG